RNAcentral lists this ribosomal RNA (253 nucleotides) under uncultured bacterium. RNAcentral describes it as "partial 16S ribosomal RNA". It matches the Rfam family "Bacterial small subunit ribosomal RNA", at positions 524 to 776 of the family's 1533-position model. The record is from RNAcentral.
GACGGAGAGUGCAAACGUUGUUCGGAUUUACUGGGCGUAGAGGGCACGUAGGCGGCCAGGCAAAUCAGUUGUGGAAUCCCGACGCCUACCGUCGGAACGGCAAUUGAAAAUACCUGGCUCGAGGGCUGGAGGGGUCGCAGGAACUCUUGGUGGAGCGGUGAAAUGCGUAGAUAUCAAGAGGAACGCCGGAGGCGAAAGCGUGCGACUGGCCAGUCCCUGACGCUGAGGUGCGAAAGCUAGGGGAGCAAACAGG